CCAAAUGCGCCUCCCAAUAGAAGCAGUAAGACCAGUAAAGUAAAACAAACUUCACUGGAAUGUUAAUGGAAAAAUUAAUUCAUGACUUCAUCUGCUACUAGUUUGCUCACUUCUUUCCAAAAACCAUCUAAAUAUCUUGCAAGAAGAUGUUCAAUUGGAAAGUCUGAAUGUUUACUUCAAAACAACAUUACUAAAUAUAUCUCCACCCAACCAUAUCAUGCUUAAAAAAUCAUUCCUAAAAUAUAACAGG
Molecule: long non-coding RNA, 250 nt
Filed under: Vitis vinifera (wine grape)
Lineage: Eukaryota; Viridiplantae; Streptophyta; Magnoliopsida; Vitales; Vitaceae
Description: long non-coding RNA (VVIN_LNC000221)
Source: RNAcentral